GACUCAGUGGCGUAGUGGGUAGCGCGCUCGCCUCACAGCAAGAAGGUUGUUGGUUUGAGUCCCGGCUGGGUCA
This 73-nucleotide transfer RNA is filed under the name Danio rerio (zebrafish). It matches the Rfam family "tRNA". From Rfam's summary of the family: Transfer RNA (tRNA) molecules are approximately 80 nucleotides in length. Their secondary structure includes four short double-helical elements and three loops (D, anti-codon, and T loops). The record is from Rfam by way of RNAcentral. Lineage: Eukaryota; Metazoa; Chordata; Actinopteri; Cypriniformes; Danionidae.